GUGGGGAAUAUUGCACAAUGGGCGAAAGCCUGAUGCAGCGACGCCGCGUGAAGGAUGAAGUAUUUCGGUAUGUAAACUUCUAUCAGCAGGGAAGAAAAUGACGGUACCUGACUAAGAAGCCCCGGCUAACUACGUGCCAGCAGCCGCGGUAAUACGUAGGGGGCAAGCGUUAUCCGGAUUUACUGGGUGUAAAGGGAGCGUAGACGGCAUUGCAAGCCAGAUGUGAAAGCCCGGGGCUCAACCCCGGGACUGCAUUUGGAACUGCAGGGCUGGAGUGUCGGAGAGGCAAGUGGAAUUCCUAGUGUAGCGGUGAAAUGCGUAGAUAUUAGGAGGAACACCAGUGGCGAAGGCGGCUUGCUGGACGAUGACUGACGUUGAGGCUCGAAAGCGUGGGGAGCAAACAGG
RNAcentral lists this ribosomal RNA (405 nucleotides) under uncultured bacterium. RNAcentral describes it as "bacterial SSU rRNA". It matches the Rfam family "Bacterial small subunit ribosomal RNA", at positions 354 to 776 of the family's 1533-position model. The record is from RNAcentral.